AGAGCGAACGCUGGCGGCGUGCCUAACACAUGCAAGUCGAACGCCCUUUUGCUCGCAAGAGCCAGAGGGAGUGGCGGACGGGUGAGUAACACAUGGGUAACCUACCCCCCAGUGAGGAAUACCGGCGAGAAAUCGCCGACAAGACCGCAUAGGCUCGGUCCGGUGAAGCGGAGCGAGCAAAGUCUCGCAAGAGACGCUGAGGGAUGGGCCUGUGGCCGAUUAGCUAGUUGGUAAGGUAAAGGCUUACCAAGGCGACGAUCGGUAGCUGGUCUGAGAGGACGAACAGCCACACUGGGAUUGAGAACGGCCCAGACUCCUACGGGGGGCAGCAGUGAGGAAUUUUCCGCAAUGGACGCAAGUCUGACGGAGCAACGCCGCGUGCAGGAGGACGCUUUUCGGAGUGUAAACUGCUUUUCUGUGGGACGAGAGUGGACGGUACCACAGGAAGAAGCCCCGGCUAACUACGUGCCAGCAGCCGC
This 479-nucleotide ribosomal RNA is filed under the name uncultured bacterium. RNAcentral describes it as "SSU rRNA". It matches the Rfam family "Bacterial small subunit ribosomal RNA", at positions 26 to 518 of the family's 1533-position model. The record is from RNAcentral.